UGAAUGAACAUAUCAAACAAAGGUGAGCAGUUGGGUUCCAGUCCUUGCCUCAGUGGUAGACUCUGAGGAGUUUCAACACGAGGUCUUGGGUUCGAAACCCAUAGGUGGUGAAAUCCCACUAUGGCGUGCGUGGGUGUGUGUCGGGUGCGCAUGUGUAAAAAACAAAACAAA
Molecule: long non-coding RNA, 171 nt
Organism: Magnolia sinica
Lineage: Eukaryota; Viridiplantae; Streptophyta; Magnoliopsida; Magnoliales; Magnoliaceae
Exons: 2
Source: RefSeq, a predicted model, not a curated record